This 1730-nucleotide ribosomal RNA is filed under the name Pasteurella multocida subsp. septica. RNAcentral describes it as "bacterial LSU rRNA". It matches the Rfam family "Bacterial large subunit ribosomal RNA", at positions 1215 to 2925 of the family's 2925-position model. The record is from RNAcentral. Lineage: Bacteria; Pseudomonadati; Pseudomonadota; Gammaproteobacteria; Pasteurellales; Pasteurellaceae.
UUUAUUCUGUUGGGUAGGGGAGCGUUGUGUAAGCGGAAGAAGGUGGCUCGAGAGGGUUGCUGGACGUAUCACAAGUGCGAAUGCUGACAUAAGUAACGAUAAAACGAGUGAAAAACUCGUUCGCCGGAAGACCAAGGGUUCCUGUCCAACGUUAAUCGGGGCAGGGUGAGUCGGCCCCUAAGGCGAGGCUGAAAAGCGUAGUCGAUGGGAAACGGGUUAAUAUUCCCGUACUUGGUAAAGCUGCGAUGUGGGGACGGAGAAGGUUAGGUAAGCGGACUGUUGGAAAUGUCCGUUUAAGUUGGUAGUUGGGAGCGGUAGGCAAAUCCGCUGCUCCAUUCAACAACGAGAGAUGAUGACGAGUUCCUAAGGGAAUGAAGUUACCGAUACCCGGCUUCCAGGAAAAGCCACUAAGCGAAAGGCUUUAUUAAACCGUACUGAAAACCGACACAGGUGGUCAGGUAGAGAAUACUCAGGCGCUUGAGAGAACUCGGGUGAAGGAACUAGGCAAAAUAGCACCGUAACUUCGGGAGAAGGUGCGCUUACAGUAAUUGUAGUCCCUCGCGGAUGAAGGUGAAGUAAGUCGAAGAUACCAGCUGGCUGCAACUGUUUAUUAAAAACACAGCACUCUGCAAACACGAAAGUGGACGUAUAGGGUGUGAUGCCUGCCCGGUGCUGGAAGGUUAAUUGAUGGUGUUAUCGAAAGAGAAGCUCCUGAUCGAAGCCCCAGUAAACGGCGGCCGUAACUAUAACGGUCCUAAGGUAGCGAAAUUCCUUGUCGGGUAAGUUCCGACCUGCACGAAUGGCAUAAUGAUGGCCAGGCUGUCUCCACCCGAGACUCAGUGAAAUUGAAAUCGCCGUGAAGAUGCGGUGUACCCGCGGCUAGACGGAAAGACCCCGUGAACCUUUACUAUAGCUUGACACUGAACAUUGAAUUUUGAUGUGUAGGAUAGGUGGGAGCCUUUGAAGCAGUGACGCCAGUCAUUGUGGAGGCGACCUUGAAAUACCACCCUUUAACGUUUGAUGUUCUAACGAAGUGCCUGAAACGGGUACUCGGACAGUGUCUGGUGGGUAGUUUGACUGGGGCGGUCUCCUCCCAAAGCGUAACGGAGGAGCACGAAGGUUUGCUAAUGACGGUCGGACAUCGUCAGGUUAGUGCAAUGGUAUAAGCAAGCUUAACUGCGAGACGGACAAGUCGAGCAGGUGCGAAAGCAGGUCAUAGUGAUCCGGUGGUUCUGAAUGGAAGGGCCAUCGCUCAACGGAUAAAAGGUACUCCGGGGAUAACAGGCUGAUACCGCCCAAGAGUUCAUAUCGACGGCGGUGUUUGGCACCUCGAUGUCGGCUCAUCACAUCCUGGGGCUGAAGUAGGUCCCAAGGGUAUGGCUGUUCGCCAUUUAAAGUGGUACGCGAGCUGGGUUUAGAACGUCGUGAGACAGUUCGGUCCCUAUCUGCCGUGGGCGUUGGAUGAUUGAUUGGGGCUGCUCCUAGUACGAGAGGACCGGAGUGGACGCAUCACUGGUGUUCCAGUUGUCUCGCCAGAGGCAUUGCUGGGUAGCUAAAUGCGGAAGAGAUAAGUGCUGAAAGCAUCUAAGCACGAAACUUGCCAAGAGAUGAGUCAUCCCUGACUUUAAGUCAGUAAGGGUUGUUUAAGACUAAGACGUAGAUAGGUUGGGUGUGUAAGUGUAGUGAUACAUUGAGCUAACCAAUACUAAUUGCCCGAGAGGCUUAACCAU